RNAcentral lists this unclassified non-coding RNA (236 nucleotides) under plant metagenome. RNAcentral describes it as "partial contains small subunit ribosomal RNA, internal transcribed spacer 1, and 5.8S ribosomal RNA". The record is from RNAcentral.
UUUCCGUAGGUGAACCUGCGGAAGGAUCAUUACUGAGUGAGGGCCCCUCGGGGUCCAACCUCCCACCCGUGUUUAACGAACCUUGUUGCUUCGGCGGGCCCGCCGCACGGCCGCCGGGGGGCAUCUGCCCCCGGGCCCGCGCCCGCCGAAGCCACCUGUGAACGCUGUCUGAAGUAUGCAGUCUGAGACAAUUAUUAAAUUAAUUAAAACUUUCAACAACGGAUCUCUUGGUUCCG